Molecule: long non-coding RNA, 947 nt
Organism: Cyprinus carpio carpio
Lineage: Eukaryota; Metazoa; Chordata; Actinopteri; Cypriniformes; Cyprinidae
Source: Ensembl
AAGUAUAUGGUCGCAGAGUCACAAUAGUCUCGCAGAACUCCAGUCCCUCUGUCCACUGUGAGUUCAUGUCAGGCUCAAAGAUAAGCAAUAUCUCUUCCUUUGGUCUGUAUGACUGAUCUCUACAUUCCACUUGUACCGAUGUAUGUUUGGACACAUGAUCAUUCUCCUUUGUUGUUUUAACUGUAUAUUCACAUGGUUUCUCAGCAUGGAUUUGGCUGAUGAAUGCUUGAACUGUUUCUGUUGCUGCUCUAGGACAGAUGGUUCCUUGGAGUCCACUUGUGACUGGCUGUAUUAUUCCCUUGCCGUUCACCAUCUGCUCGAUCACAUUAUAUCCAAUAAUGGGAUGACAUAGCUGCCUGCCCUUCAUCGCCAACACAGCACUGGACCUGCUGAUGCUGAGAGAGUGAACCAGAGAGCCAGAAAGGUUUCAGGAAAACAUUUAUUUUCAAACCCUUCUGAAGCAGAUGCCAUUCCUGUCGCAGUCCUCCCAGAGGGCAGGCACUCCAGAAGAUUGCAAAGAUAAUCCAGCAUCUCCAAUGGCUCACAAAAUUCAACAUAGUGGGAACUUGUGCAGCAUAAGCAAUGACGUGCAUCCAUGAAGAUUGUGAGAAAAGGGCACAGAGAUCUGAAGUGCCCAUUACUGGUGGAAACUGUGCAAUGGCUUGAGUUGAGACAUCAGAACGGGUGAAAGUAGUGUAGUAGUUUGUUAUUUUGAAAAUGGGGUGUAAGAGGCAGAGUUUAGCUGCAGCCUCAAGCGGAGCUGAAAACACUCACAGCCUCCACAGCAUGAGUCCACAGCGUUCAGCUUUGCUUUGGGACCUGUAGACUCGCCUGAAUAAUCCCCGACCGGGAGAGAUGCUUUCAGACAGAUAGCAGCAUCACCUCAGCACUCAAUCACAUUUAUGGGCCUGUUCAGCCAUGUGUUAUUUGUUAUUGGUGUUAUGAGG